Molecule: ribosomal RNA, 433 nt
Filed under: uncultured bacterium
Lineage: Bacteria
Description: partial 16S ribosomal RNA
Rfam family: Bacterial small subunit ribosomal RNA
Source: RNAcentral
AACGAACGCUGGCGGCAUGCCUAACACAUGCAAGUCGAACGAGACCUUCGGGUCUAGUGGCGCACGGGUGCGUAACGCGUGGGAACCUGCCCUUAGGUUCGGAAUAACUCCCCGAAAGGGGUGCUAAUACCGGAUAAUGUCUUCGGACCAAAGAUUUAUCGCCUUUGGAUGGGCCCGCGUUGGAUUAGCUAGUUGGUAGGGUAAAAGCCUACCAAGGCGACGAUCCAUAGCUGGUCUGAGAGGAUGAUCAGCCACACUGGGACUGAGACACGGCCCAGACUCCUACGGGAGGCAGCAGUGGGGAAUAUUGGACAAUGGGCGAAAGCCUGAUCCAGCAAUGCCGCGUGAGUGAUGAAGGCCUUAGGGUUGUAAAGCUCUUUUACCCGGGAUGAUAAUGACAGUACCGGGAGAAUAAGCUCCGGCUACCUCCGUG